This is a long non-coding RNA of Oncorhynchus tshawytscha (Chinook salmon), 1780 nucleotides long. RefSeq lists it as uncharacterized. The record is from RefSeq and is a predicted model, not a curated record. The transcript has 4 exons. Lineage: Eukaryota; Metazoa; Chordata; Actinopteri; Salmoniformes; Salmonidae.
UGUCAGUGUCAUCAGUGGGGGAGGGGCCUGCCCUGCUCGCCCUAAUUGAAUAUUGUGGGCCAGGAGAGAUGACCAAGAACUGCUGCAAGGAUUUUUCUUUCACAGACCCUGCAAGAGUCUCACCAAUAGUGCUGCACAAAGUACUGACACAGGCAGCCUCUGCGACGCCACUGGACGUGACGUCAUCUCCAGAGUAAACAGCCAGGAAAUGAACCCUCUCAGCAAGCAGAGCAGAGCGCGCAGGCUGUUCUGGAGAGGAAAUGCGCGCGCCCUUUUCCAGAUACCCAGAGAGCAUGUCUCACUCAAGCGAACCUGAGACUGAACCUGGAUGGAAACUGCUGUACCGCCUCACAUCGAACAAUCUCACCGCCAUUGUCGAGCUGUCAACGGACUCGUGUAAUUAUCCUCUUGAAAAGUAUCGCGCUCCAUUAUCCACCAAGUAGGCUAUGCGUUAUAGGUGCUCCGAGGCAACACAUGACGGUAAAUGUAAAAAUCCUGAUACUGUUUUUUUGUUCCUUGUCUGGAUGCCUGGAAGCUUACAGAGUGGGACAUCUCUCAAGACGUGAUUUCCCAAGCUUCAGUGUCAAGAGGGAAGGAGAGUGGAAUAAAAACUGGUCCCCUUUAAAAGUUGUCAUUUGUAAAUCCCCACCACUGUCACAGCAGAAGGGGGUGAGUGCGCGUGCGUGCGUGUCUGUGUGUGCGUGAUAAAAUAACCAAAACAAACCAAAUAAAAAGCAGAUGCCUAGUCUACUACACGGCGUCUGAUUCAUAAAUGUUGGUGGUAGUAUGGUGGCUGGUAGUUUUGCCUGGUGGCGGGCACAGCAGAAGACUGGAGAGAUCAUUUGUCAGGGAACGCUGAUUAAAAUCAGAAGACAUCACACAUUUCACCGAGGGUAAAGCUGUCCAAACAGCCGCGAGGCGCGGAUCCAGGGUGAACCAGAGGACACCGCCUCGGGCAGCGGGCCUCGCCCGGCACUCUCUCUACCCGCUGGAGCUACUUCACUCCAGUCACCACUGGAAUACAUUAUUAUCAUCUUCAUGAAGACGGAGACAUUUUUUUUUUAAAGCGAAGGAGAGAGAAACGCAGUCGGACUUUCAUGUGUGUUACAGGAUCAUUUAAAUGUAAUCAACGAACAGCUAUUUAUUAUUAUUACUAUUAAUAAUGAUAAUAAUAAUAAUAACAAUGCUUUUCAUAUAUGCUGAAAUAGAAAACAAAAUACACCGAAAACAGGCAUUUUCAAAUAAUUCAAAACGAUAUCAUGCAUGACAAAAUUUUAAACCUCGAGUUGGGGCGUGUGGCAUAUAGCCUAUAAAUAUAGGCUACAGGUAUAAGAUGACUAAUGCCACAAUAUUCUCUGAUCUUUUCAAGAACAACGCUUCUUGUUGUACUCAAUUAACUCUGUGAACCAGUUCAGAUUCUUAGAACCAAAACGAGGGCGUGAAAUUAUUCUCGGUGUGAAUGAAACUUGAAAAAUGAGGUGUAUUUCUUAGAAUGAUUCAAAUGAGAAAAGAUUUUGGAACAUUUUACCUCGAGUACAGAUUAUGUUUUCGGUAAUGCUUUAGCUUCAGAAACAAGAAAAAUAUAUGAAGGUACUCUAUCAAUUGAGUGAGAGAGAUGCUUAUCCGUGUGAUCGCUGUUCACCUCCUCUCUCUUAACGGCGGCAUCGCCAGGCCCACACCGCCUCCAUUUGGAUGCUACUGUUUUCGGUUACUCUGCUUUAAACAACAUCAAAUGUAGUGCUCUUAUGGCGUAUUUUACCAAAUAAAUCAAUUGACAGUU